RNAcentral lists this ribosomal RNA (253 nucleotides) under uncultured bacterium. RNAcentral describes it as "partial 16S ribosomal RNA". It matches the Rfam family "Bacterial small subunit ribosomal RNA", at positions 524 to 776 of the family's 1533-position model. The record is from RNAcentral.
UACAGAGGGUGCGAGCGUUAAUCGGAAUAAUUGGGCGUAAAGGGUGCGUAGGUGGCUAUAUAAGUCUUAUGUGAAAGUCAAUGGCUUAACCAUUGGAGGCCAUAAGAGACUGUAUAGCUAGAGUACUGUAGAGGGUAGUGGAAUUUCUGGUGUAGCGGUGAAAUGCGUAGAUAUCAGAAGGAACAUCAGUGGCGAAGGCGACUACCUGGACAGAUACUGACACUGAGGCACGAAUGCGUGGGUAGCGAACAGG